ACAUCAUAAUCAUCUCUACUUGCCACCAAUUGUACAUUCCCAAAGAGGAAAUUAUGAUUUCAAGUGAAGACAAUGGAGCAGGAACAGAUGUGCUGCUAAAAGAGAGACAUCCUAUUAUCCUGAAUAUGUACUCCGUAAUGAAAAACAAGGCAAAAGAGAUCAGAAGGGUUAGCAUUUGCUGCGACACAGAGUGAAUUUUUACUCCUGUUGCCUUGAGGACAUUCAUUGGAAACAUCAUGUUGCACUUGAUGGAGAUUCUCCUGAUGAAAAGGUUCAUGAAAAAGAACAAAUUAAUUUUUGGUAACAAUCAAUGGUACCAUCCAAUGCAUUUUCCCGUUUCCUUUACUUUUCAUUCUCUUUCUCAUUGUGCCCUAGCUGCCUGAUUCUCUUCAUGGAGAAAAUACACUGUAAUUUAUUUUAAAGGAACUCCUAAAACUGCCUACUGGUCUUAAUUAUAACAGACCAUGGUUUAUCUGGAAUCCUAAUCUGGCUUUGAAUGCUCAGCAAAGAGCAUCAGAACCAUAGCUCAAGCCACAGAAAAAAAUCAAUCAAGAAGACUUUAUCUGUCCUAUUGUUAAAGAGAAAUGGGACCUCCUGGCUAUGAGAAGACAAAUUGCUAUCCCAGUCAACUUCCUUUUCUGGUCUUUUAAACUAUGUAUUCAUGUAUAUGUAAAUAUAUAAUUUAAGUAUUUAUAUAUAUAAAUAUUUAUAUAUAUGCACACUAA
Canis lupus familiaris (dog) is the source of this 725-nucleotide long non-coding RNA. RefSeq lists it as uncharacterized. NCBI's taxonomy places the organism in Eukaryota, Metazoa, Chordata, Mammalia, Carnivora, Canidae. The transcript is spliced from 2 exons. The record is from RefSeq and is a predicted model, not a curated record.